This 450-nucleotide ribosomal RNA is filed under the name Triticum aestivum (bread wheat). RNAcentral's name for it is "partial small subunit ribosomal RNA". Lineage: Eukaryota; Viridiplantae; Streptophyta; Magnoliopsida; Poales; Poaceae. The record is from RNAcentral.
AUGUUUGAGAAUCUCACUCCAAGACCACACCGUCAUGUGACGAUAUUCAAUGAUUUGAUCAAGUGUGUUGAGUUAGAUUUUCAUGUGCAAGAUGCUUUCUUCAACAUGAAGCGAGCAAAGGAUUAUGGCUGGAUGGCUAAAACAUGGACUAGAUCAAUUUAUUCAGAUGUUUGGUGUGAUGGCUUGACGAUUGAUACGUCUGAGAUAUCUUUCACCGACUCAAGUUUGCCGAAUUUGUUGCCUGGGAUGUUUGAUGAGGAAAACAAUUUGACUUGGAAGAAAUUGACUAGUGCUGGUCCUACAUUAAGCUUGCUUGAUGACAAUGUUAUUUACAUUAUGGCGAACGAGAACAUGUGCCAUCCGACAGCAUAUGUACUUACUGUGGACACCAAAAGUUUGAAGCUCGAGUCUGGUGCGCAGUGUGCUCCUCAAAAGACGGCGUGGUUCUAA